RNAcentral lists this ribosomal RNA (445 nucleotides) under uncultured bacterium. RNAcentral describes it as "partial 16S ribosomal RNA". It matches the Rfam family "Bacterial small subunit ribosomal RNA", at positions 354 to 796 of the family's 1533-position model. The record is from RNAcentral.
GUGAGGAAUAUUGGUCAAUGGGCGAGAGCCUGAACCAGCCAAGUCGCGUGAAGGAAGAAGGAUCUAUGGUUCGUAAACUUCUUUUGCAGGGGAAUAAAGUGCAGGACGUGUCCUGUUUUGUAUGUACCCUGAGAAUAAGGAUCGGCUAACUCCGUGCCAGCAGCCGCGGUAAUACGGAGGAUCCGAGCGUUAUCCGGAUUUAUUGGGUUUAAAGGGUGCGUAGGUGGUUUGAUAAGUCAGCGGUGAAAGUUUGUAGCUUAACUGUAAAAAUGCCGUUGAAACUGUCGGACUUGAGUGUAAAUGAGGUAGGCGGAAUGCGUGGUGUAGCGGUGAAAUGCAUAGAUAUCACGCAGAACUCCGAUUGCGAAGGCAGCUUACUAAGCUACAACUGACACUGAAGCACGAAAGCGUGGGGAUCAAACAGGAUUAGAUACCCUUGUAGUCC